UUAUGGAUUUGGAGUGACAUGAGGGUGAGUAAAGUAUGACAAUUAACAACACCCUUUAAAAUGUAGCCUUAAGUUGUAAAUUGCUGACUAAUUUCAUGUUUUCAUGUUUUCAUUGAUCCUGAAGUGCCUAUGUGUCUACCUCAGCAAACACCUGAGACACUCGUUAAAGAAUAUGUGGUUUACAAAAGUAGCCUUGGCAAACUUGAAGGGCAUUCAUGGUCUAUGAAAAUGAAGAGGCUAAAUCUGGGAUUGUACUGUACAGACAACAACCAUAAGAAUCUACGUCAUUUGGGCAGAAGGUGUUGAUCCUGGAGACGAACCUACAGAUGUUGGUAUGGUACUUGAAUGUGUGUAAAUUCUGCAAAACCUGCUGAGUGUACCCUUGGAUGUGGGAUGCUUUUUGGACUCAUAUGAUCAUAUAAUCUCAUAUAAUCUUAACAAUCAGAAAGACCUCAAGUGCACGUUUGAAGAAUUUUAGAAAAUCCUGAUGGAACUGGAUUAAACCAGGCUGUCACCAAAAGUCCAAGCACUGAAAUUGCGAUGC
Molecule: long non-coding RNA, 544 nt
Organism: Triplophysa rosa
Lineage: Eukaryota; Metazoa; Chordata; Actinopteri; Cypriniformes; Nemacheilidae
Exons: 3
Source: RefSeq, a predicted model, not a curated record